RNAcentral lists this ribosomal RNA (770 nucleotides) under ectomycorrhizal root tip (Dermocybe) 72_Ny1.1.E2-17.4. RNAcentral describes it as "eukaryotic LSU rRNA". The stretch from base 238 to 391 matches the Rfam family "5.8S ribosomal RNA". The record is from RNAcentral. Lineage: Eukaryota; Fungi; Basidiomycota; Agaricomycetes; Agaricales; Cortinariaceae.
UUGAAAUAAACCUGAUGGGUUGCUGCUGGCUCUCUCGGGAGCAUGUGCACACUUGUCAUCUUUAUAUCUCCACCUGUGCACCUUUUGUAGAUCUGGAUAUCUUUCUGAAUGCCUGGCAUUCAGGUUUGAGAAUUGACUNUUUGUCUUUCCUUACAUUUNCAGGCCUAUGUUNCUAUCAUAUACACCAUUAUGUUAUAGAAUGUAUAUGAAAGGCCUUUGUGCCUACAAACUUUAUACAACUUUCAGCAACGGAUCUAUUGGCUCUUGCAUCGAUGAAGAACGCAGCGAAAUGCGAUAAGUAAUGUGAAUUGCAGAAUUCAGUGAAUCAUCGAAUCUUUGAACGCACCUUGCGCUCCUUGGUAUUCCGAGGAGCAUGCCUGUUUGAGUGUCAUUAAUAUAUCAACCUCCUCAGGUUUUUACUUGUCGAGUGUUUGGAUGUGGGGGUUUCUUUUGCUGGUCUCUUUGAGGUCGGCUCCCCUAAAAUGCAUUAGCGGAACAAUUUGUUGACCCGUUCAUUGGUGUGAUAAUAUCUACGCUUUUGACGUGAAACAGGUUCAGCUUCUAACAGUCCAUUGACUUGGACAAUUUUUCAUUAAUGUGACCUCAAAUCAGGUAGGACUACCCGCUGAACUUAAGCAUAUCAAUAAGCGGAGGAAAAGAAACUAACAAGGAUUCCCCUAGUAACUGCGAGUGAAGCGGGAAAAGCUCAAAUUUAAAAUCUGGCAGUCUUUGGCUUGUCCGAGUUGUAAUCUAGAGAAGUGUUAUGCGCG